This 125-nucleotide small nucleolar RNA is filed under the name Lates calcarifer (barramundi perch). RNAcentral describes it as "Small nucleolar RNA SNORA38 (ENSLCAG00010011387.1)". The record is from RNAcentral. Lineage: Eukaryota; Metazoa; Chordata; Actinopteri; Centropomidae.
ACCUCCCUCAAAGGCGCACUUGCACUGGCUGGCUUGCAAUUGCGUAACAACUGGAGGAACAUGAACUUGAAUGGAGAUGUUUGUCUUGCUGUUUCAGCAGCUAAGAUAUCAACAUUCAUACAAAU